UAAUACGUAGGAUCCAAGCGUUGUCCGGAUUUACUGGGUAUAAAGGGUGCGUAGGCGGCCUUGUGCGUCAGAGGUGAAAUCUCCGGGCUUAACCCGGAGGGUGCCUUUGAUACGGCAGGGCUUGAGUGCGAGAGAGGAUGAUGGAAUUCCUGGUGUAGCGGUGAAAUGCGUAGAUAUCAGGAGGAACACCGGUGGCGAAGGCGGUCAUCUGGCUCGAAACUGACGCUGAGGCACGAAAGCGUGGGGAUCAAACAGGAUUAGAUACCCUGGUAGUCCACGCCCUAAACGAUGUAUGCUUGGUGUUGGGGUCGCAAGAUCUCAGUGCCGUAGGAAAUCUGAUAAGCAUACCACCUGGGGAGUACGAUCGCAAGGUUGAAACUCAAAUGAAUUGACGGU
RNAcentral lists this ribosomal RNA (396 nucleotides) under uncultured bacterium. RNAcentral describes it as "bacterial SSU rRNA". It matches the Rfam family "Bacterial small subunit ribosomal RNA", at positions 521 to 917 of the family's 1533-position model. The record is from RNAcentral.